RNAcentral lists this ribosomal RNA (1261 nucleotides) under metagenome. RNAcentral's name for it is "bacterial SSU rRNA". It matches the Rfam family "Bacterial small subunit ribosomal RNA", at positions 8 to 1275 of the family's 1533-position model. The record is from RNAcentral.
AGAGUUUGAUCCUGGCUCAGGAUGAACGCUAGCGGCAGGCCUAAUACAUGCAAGUCGAACGGUAAAUAUUUAGCAAUAAAUAUGAGAGUGACGUACGGGUGCGUAACACGUAUGCAACCUACCCUUUACAGGCGGAUAGCUCGGGGAAACUCGAAUUAACCCGCCGUAAUAUAAUUGGAUGGCAUCAUCUGGUUAUUAAAUCUACGGAGGUAAAGGAUGGGCAUGCGUCUGAUUAGUUAGUUGGCGGGGUAACGGCCCACCAAGACGAUGAUCAGUAGGGGAACUGAGAGGUUGAUCCCCCACACUGGCACUGAGAUACGGGCCAGACUCCUACGGGAGGCAGCAGUAGGGAAUAUUGGUCAAUGGAUGGAAGUCUGAACCAGCCAUGCCGCGUGCAGGAAGAAGGCCUUCUGGGUUGUAAACUGCUUUUGCCAGGGGAUAAAAUGACCUUGCGAGGUUAAUUGAAGGUACCUGGUGAAUAAGCCACGGCUAACUACGUGCCAGCAGCCGCGGUAAUACGUAGGUGGCAAGCGUUGUCCGGAUUUAUUGGGUUUAAAGGGUGCGUAGGCGGCUUAUUAAGUCAGUGGUGAAAUACUCUAGCUCAACUAGAGGGGUGCCAUUGAUACUGAUGAGCUUGAGUACAGAUGAGGUAGGCGGAAUUGACGGUGUAGCGGUGAAAUGCUUAUAUCGUCAAGAACACCUAUAGCGAAGGCAGCUUACUAGGCUGUAACUGACGCUGAGGCACGAAAGUGUGGGGAUCAAACAGGAUUAGAUACCCUGGUAGUCCACACUGUAAACGUUGAUUACUCGCUGUGUGCGAUAUACAGUACGCGGCCAAGCGAAAGCGAUAAGUAAUCCACCUGGGGAGUACGCCGGCAACGGUGAAACUCAAAGGAAUUGACGGGGGUCCGCACAAGCGGUGGAGCAUGUUGUUUAAUUCGAUGAUACGCGAGGAACCUUACCUGGACUAGAAUGCCCUUGACCGAUCCAGAGAUGGAUUUUUCCGCAAGGACAAGGAGCAAGGUGCUGCAUGGCCGUCGUCAGCUCGUGCCGUGAGGUGUUGGGUUAAGUCCCGCAACGAGCGCAACCCCUAUUUUUAGUUGCCAACAGGUUAAGCUGGGGACUCUAAAAAGACUGCCCGCGCAAGCGGAGAGGAAGGAGGGGACGACGUCAGGUCAUCAUGGCCCUUACGUCCAGGGCUACACACGUGCUACAAUGGCGUAUACAGAGUGUUGCAAACCAGCGAUGGUAAGCCAAUCAC